Molecule: transfer RNA, 77 nt
Filed under: Spiroplasma sp.
Lineage: Bacteria; Bacillati; Mycoplasmatota; Mollicutes; Entomoplasmatales; Spiroplasmataceae
Also listed under: 5 other names
Description: tRNA-Ile
Rfam family: tRNA
About the family: Transfer RNA (tRNA) molecules are approximately 80 nucleotides in length. Their secondary structure includes four short double-helical elements and three loops (D, anti-codon, and T loops).
Source: RNAcentral
GGACCCUUAGCUUAGUUGGUUAAAGCUCCCGGCUCAUAACCGGGCGAGCAUUGGUUCGAAUCCGAUAGGGUCCACCA